UUCGGAAAAAACGAUCACACACUAUGUAAGC
Molecule: non-coding RNA, 31 nt
Filed under: Mus musculus (house mouse)
Lineage: Eukaryota; Metazoa; Chordata; Mammalia; Rodentia; Muridae
Source: RNAcentral